CAAAUAUAAAAAGUGGAUCAAGGUUUAAAUUUGAUGUGGCAUACUUGAGGUAUGGUAAAGAUAGGAAACUUAAAAUUUUUGCUUCAAUUCUAUCAAAAACUCGAAAGAUUGGAUGUUUUUAGAUUUUGAUGUAAGGUGGUAUUUCUUGUUGGAAAUCAUUUGAUAAACUUAUAGAAUUUGAUAAAUUUAGAUCAGAGUGUA
RNAcentral lists this long non-coding RNA (201 nucleotides) under Elaeis guineensis (African oil palm). Its description in RNAcentral is "long non-coding RNA (EGUI_LNC034994)". Lineage: Eukaryota; Viridiplantae; Streptophyta; Magnoliopsida; Arecales; Arecaceae. The record is from RNAcentral.